Molecule: ribosomal RNA, 305 nt
Filed under: uncultured bacterium
Lineage: Bacteria
Description: bacterial SSU rRNA
Rfam family: Bacterial small subunit ribosomal RNA
Source: RNAcentral
UGUUUCCUACGGGGGGCAGCAGUGGGGAAUAUUGCACAAUGGCCGGAAGGCUGAACCAGCCAAGUCGCGUGAGGGACGACUGCCCUAUGGGUUGUAAACCUCUUUUAUAAGGGAAGAAUAAAUGCUACGUGUAGCAUGAUGCCUGUACCUUAUGAAUAAGCAUCGGCUAACUCCGUGCCAGCAGCCGCGGUAAUACGGAGGAUGCGAGCGUUAUCCGGAUUUAUUGGGUUUAAAGGGUGCGUAGGCGGUUUUUUAAGUUAGUGGUUAAACGUCGGGGCUUCACCUUGAUUUUCCAUUAAUACUGU